RNAcentral lists this ribosomal RNA (253 nucleotides) under uncultured bacterium. RNAcentral's name for it is "partial 16S ribosomal RNA". It matches the Rfam family "Bacterial small subunit ribosomal RNA", at positions 524 to 776 of the family's 1533-position model. The record is from RNAcentral.
UACGUAGGUGGCAAGCGUUGUCCGGAUUUACUGGGCGUAAAGAGCGCGCAGGCGGCCAAGUCAGUCGAAUGUGAAAGCCCCCGGCUCAACUGGGGAGGGUCAUUCGAUACUGCUCGGCUCGAAGACAGGAGAGGGAAGUGGAAUUCCCGGUGUAGUGGUGAAAUGCGUAGAUAUCGGGAGGAACACCGGUGGCGAAGGCGACUUCCUGGCCUGUUCUUGACGCUGAGGCGCGAAAGCUAGGGGAGCAAACGGG